ACAAGCCCCGCAAGGGGUGGAGGAGCGGCAAACGGGGUAGUAAGGCAUCGGAACGUACCCUCCAGACGGGGAUAGCGGCGGGAAACUGCCGGUAAUACCCGAUGAUCUCUAGCGAGCAAAGGUCCGCCGCUGGAGGAGCGGCCGAUGUGGUAUCAGGUAGUUGGCGGGGUAAUGGCCCACCAAGCCUUAGACGCCUAGGGGGCGUGAGAGCGCGACCCCCACCACUGGGACUGAGAUACUGCCCAGACACCUACGGGUGGCUGCAGUCGAGAAUCUUCGGCAAUGGGCGCAAGCCUGACCGAGCGACGCCGCGUGCGGGAUGAAGGCCCUUGGGUUGUAAACCGCUGUCAGGGGGGAUCAAGGCGAAAGCUUGAGAGAGCCCCAGAGGAAGCACGGGCUAAGUUCGUGCCAGCAGCCGCGGUAAUACGAACUGUGCGAACGUUAUUCGGAAUCACUGGGCUUACAGGGUGCGUAGGCGGCCUUUCAAGUCAGGUGUGAAAUCCCCCAGCUCAACUGGGGAACUGCGC
RNAcentral lists this ribosomal RNA (527 nucleotides) under uncultured bacterium. RNAcentral describes it as "bacterial SSU rRNA". It matches the Rfam family "Bacterial small subunit ribosomal RNA", at positions 71 to 626 of the family's 1533-position model. The record is from RNAcentral.